Molecule: non-coding RNA, 60 nt
Organism: Salmo salar (Atlantic salmon)
Lineage: Eukaryota; Metazoa; Chordata; Actinopteri; Salmoniformes; Salmonidae
Source: Rfam
UUGGCUCAGUUGGUAGAGCAUGGUGUUUGCAACGCCAGGAUUGUGGGUUCAAUUCCCACA